UUUUAGUAUAAAUAUUGUCUUGUAGACAAUAUCCAAACUCAAAUAAAGUCCUCAUUACAAUUAUUGAUAUAUUAUUUUACAAAAUAGUGAGGACUGCUAUAAUAACUGUCUUGAACCAUCACUCCACAACCCGACUAGUACCAACUAUAUUCUCGCCUCUUAAGAAGAAAAAUGGAACAAAAAGGAAAAAGAUGAGCUCAACUAGCCCAGUAAAGAAUAUUAUGACCAAGAUAAUGAAAAACAAAUUAUCGUUAGCCUUCAAUAAAUCAGAUAACAUAUAAUGGACAACAAGUUUUAGAUCAAUAUGUGCAACAGAAAUAACAAUUCAUUAGAAGAGUUAAGUAGAGGAUGAAGUCUACUAUCUUCUAUGAUUUAAAAGUUCAUCAUCAAUAUUUUAUCCCUGUGACAUCAAUCAAUAAUUAUCUCAAAACAAAUAUUCAUCUUUGCACUAUGGGCCAAAGAUAUUCAUUUGUAUUACUAGUUGGUCAUGUUCAUCUCAACACCUGUCCAUCUUUGCACUACGGGCCAAAGAUAUU
This 536-nucleotide long non-coding RNA is filed under the name Panax ginseng (ginseng). Its description in RNAcentral is "long non-coding RNA (PGIN_LNC000284)". Lineage: Eukaryota; Viridiplantae; Streptophyta; Magnoliopsida; Apiales; Araliaceae. The record is from RNAcentral.